AAAAAAAGAAUACACUGCCGCCAGACACACACGUCUCGUCCCCACCUCUUCCCGACCCCUCGCUCCCGAUCUCGUCUCUUUCCUGCCAAAUAUCGUCGCCGCCGGUGAGAGGAAGGAGCGCAGCGGAGGCACCGAGGAGGAGGGGGUCGCCUCGCUCGCUUCUGCUGACGUCGAUCAUGCCCACUGCGGCGGGCGCGGCGAGGCGAGCCCCAAGCCGCAGGACACCGGGCACGGCCACCCCCGCUGCCGCCGCCGCCGCAGGGACAUGAAGAGCAGGGCCGCGGGAGUUGGCGAGGGCUCCGAGGAGGGAUCCGGCCCCGAUCCUGACCCGCAGCCCCAGGCGAGCUCCGGUUCCGCCGCCCCGUAAUCCGCUCGAGCCGCGCCUAAUGCCAUGGUUUAUUGCAGGUGGAGGUGGAGUACGUGCCGGAGAAGCCCGACCUCGGCGCCGACCAUCCCCGCCUCCGCGCGUGUGUCUUCGUUGCCAUCCGGUGCAGACGCCCAUCCCGCGCUACCUGCAAUGACAGAUUGAUGUAAGCAUGCUUCCUGUCCUGAUGCCUAAUUUUGGGUCUCAGUUUUGAGUUUUCCUUGGUUUGUCUUCGUGAUGCCUAAUUUUUGGCUCUCACUGUUUAAUUCUUCUUGGUUUGUUUGGAAUUACAGGCCUUAUUCCCGGACUGGGUCUUGUGACAAUAAACCUGGAGACAUACAAGAUCGAUGAGGUAGACGUUGUUCAAUUUGUUGUUUAGUGAUCUACUCUUUUUCUCAAGGUUGGAGGAUCCUUUCUUCAUGUGCGUCUUCCUCCUGCAGAUGUGAUCGUUGGUA
This 819-nucleotide long non-coding RNA is filed under the name Triticum aestivum (bread wheat). RNAcentral's name for it is "long non-coding RNA (TAES_LNC026724)". Lineage: Eukaryota; Viridiplantae; Streptophyta; Magnoliopsida; Poales; Poaceae. The record is from RNAcentral.